GACGAACGCUGGCGGCGUGCUUAACACAUGCAAGUCGAACGGUGAAGUUCCUUCGGGAAUGGAUUAGUGGCGAACGGGUGAGAAACACGUGAGAAACCUGCCUUUCAUUUUGGGAUAACUCCGGGAAACCGGAGCUAACACCGAAUACUCCGUCUCGGCGGCAUCGCUGAGCCGGGAAAAAAUUAUGAUGAAAGAUGGUCUCGCGGCCUAUCAGCUAGUUGGUGAGGUAAUGGCUCACCAAGGCGACGACGGGUAGCCGGCCUGAGAGGGCGACCGGCCACACUGGGACUGAGACACGGCCCAGACCCCUACGGGAGGCAGCAGUGGAGAAUAUUGGGCAAUGGGCGCAAGCCUGACUCAGCGACGCCGCGUGAGGGAUGAAGGCCUUCGGGUUGUAAACCUCUUUCAGUAGGGAAGAAGCGAAAGUGACGGUACCUAAAGAAGAAGCACCGGCUAACUAUGUGCCAGCCGCCGCGGUAA
This 480-nucleotide ribosomal RNA is filed under the name uncultured bacterium. RNAcentral describes it as "partial 16S ribosomal RNA". It matches the Rfam family "Bacterial small subunit ribosomal RNA", at positions 28 to 523 of the family's 1533-position model. The record is from RNAcentral.